This 497-nucleotide ribosomal RNA is filed under the name uncultured bacterium. Its description in RNAcentral is "partial 16S ribosomal RNA". It matches the Rfam family "Bacterial small subunit ribosomal RNA", at positions 899 to 1397 of the family's 1533-position model. The record is from RNAcentral.
ACUCAAAGGAAUUGACGGGGGCCCGCACAAGCGGUGGAGCAUGUGGUUUAAUUCGAUGCAACGCGAAGAACCUUACCUGGGUUUGACAUCCGGAGACAGUCCUAGAGAUAGGAUCUCCCCUUCGGGGGCUCCGAGACAGGUGCUGCAUGGCUGUCGUCAGCUCGUAUCGUGAGAUGUCGGGUUAAGUCCCUUAACGAGCGCAACCCUUGUCCUUAGUUGCCACCAUUUAGUUGGGCACUCUAUGGAGACUGCCGGCGUUAAGCCGGAGGAAGGCGGGGAUGACGUCAAGUCCUCAUGGCCUUUAUAUCCAGGGCUACACACGUGCUACAAUGGCCGGUACAAAGGGUCGCCAACCCGCGAGGGGGAGCUAAUCCCAGAAAGCCGGUCUUAGUUCGGAUCGAAGUCUGCAAUUCGACUUCGUGAAGCUGGAAUCGCUAGUAAUCGCGGAUCAGAACGCCGCGGUGAAUACGUUCCCGGGCCUUGCACACACCGCCCGU